This 465-nucleotide ribosomal RNA is filed under the name uncultured bacterium. RNAcentral describes it as "bacterial SSU rRNA". It matches the Rfam family "Bacterial small subunit ribosomal RNA", at positions 338 to 795 of the family's 1533-position model. The record is from RNAcentral.
CCUACGGGUGGCACCAGUGGGGAAUAUUGGACAAUGGGGGCAACCCUGAUCCAGCAAUGCCGCGUGUGUGGAGAAGGCCUGAGGGUUGUAAAGCACUUUCAGUGGGGAGGAGGAUAAUUUGGUUAAGAGCUGAGUUAUUGGACGUUACCCACAGAAGAAGCACCGGCUAACUCCGUGCCAGCAGCCGCGGUAAUACGGAGGGUGCGAGCGUUAAUCGGAAUUACUGGGCGUAAAGCGUGCGAAGGUGGUUGAAUAAGUUAUCUGUGAAAUUCCUGGGCUUAACCUGGGGUGGUCAGAUGAUACUGUUUAACUCGAGUAUAGGAGAGGGUAGUGGAAUUUCCGGUGUAGCGGUGAAAUGCGUAGAGAUCGGAAGGAACACCAGUGGCGAAGGCGGCUACCUGGCCUAAUACUGACACUGAGGCACGAAAGCGUGGGGAGCAAACAGGAUUAGAUACCCCGGUAGUC